AUGCGGGAGCGCGUCAAGUUUCUCCGCUCCCUCGGCCUCGGCCCCGACGACCUCGCCGCCUACCCGCUCGCCCUCGGCAGCAGCGUCCGCAAGAACAUGGUCCCCGUCCUUGACUACCUCGGCAAGAUCGGCGUCCGCCGCGACGAGCUCCCGCACCUGCUCCGCCGCUACCCGCAGGUGCUCCACGCCGGCAUCGUCGUCGACCUCGCGCCCGUCGUCAAGUACCUCCAGGGGGUGGACGUCAAGCCCGACGACGUGCCGCGCGUGCUCGAGCGCUACCCGGAGCUCCUCGGCUUCAAGCUCGAGGGCACCUGUCCAGUUCCUGUCCAUAGCUGUGGCACAAGGGGUUCACAUGCUCUCUCGCAUGCCUGCUCAACUACUCUGAUGCAAAAUUCGAUGAGCGUAUGA
RNAcentral lists this ribosomal RNA (408 nucleotides) under Triticum aestivum (bread wheat). RNAcentral's name for it is "partial small subunit ribosomal RNA". The record is from RNAcentral. Lineage: Eukaryota; Viridiplantae; Streptophyta; Magnoliopsida; Poales; Poaceae.